Molecule: long non-coding RNA, 358 nt
Filed under: Rattus norvegicus (Norway rat)
Lineage: Eukaryota; Metazoa; Chordata; Mammalia; Rodentia; Muridae
Description: long non-coding RNA NONRATT015510
Source: RNAcentral
GCCACCACAGACCCCGCAGAUCUUUCCAUCGCCAUCGCCACAGCUCUGGAUGCUGUAGCAGUGGUGGCAGCAGUGGCUGCUGUGGCAGCAGUGGAGGCUGCUGUGGCAGCAGUGGUGGUUGCUGUGGCAGCAGCUGUGGUGGUAGCCAGCAGUCUGGGGACUGCUGCUGAUCUGGGCCCUUGGACUUCAGACAAGCUGUGGAGACAGAAGUCAAAUACAGACAGAAGCCCUGACUCCACUCCUCUUUUCUGUUGUGCUCUAUAUUCUGGACUCUUGGUCAUCCUAUGCAAAGUUGUGACUUUCUCCUAAAAUGAACAGACUGCAAUAAUAAAAAUCUCCCCUUUCAAACAUGACUAAA